CCUACGGGAGGCAGCAGUGAGGAAUAUUGGUCAAUGGGCGCGAGCCUGAACCAGCCAAGUCGCGUGAGGGAUGACUGUCCUACGGGUUGUAAACCUCUUUUGUCAGGGAAUAAAGUGAGGCACGUGUGCCUUUUUGUGUGUACCUUAUGAAUAAGGAUCGGCUAACUCCGUGCCAGCAGCCGCGGUAAUACGGAGGAUUCGAGCGUUAUCCGGAUUUAUUGGGUUUAAAGGGAGCGUAGAGGGGUGGUUAAGUCAGUGGUGAAAGUUUGGGGCUCAACCGUCGAAUUGCAGUUGAUACUGGCAGCCUUGAGUAGAGGAGAGGUAGGCGGAAUGCGUGGUGUAGCGGUGAAAUGCUUAGAUAUCACGAAGAACUCCGAUUGCGAAGGCAGCAUACUA
RNAcentral lists this ribosomal RNA (396 nucleotides) under uncultured bacterium. RNAcentral's name for it is "partial 16S ribosomal RNA". It matches the Rfam family "Bacterial small subunit ribosomal RNA", at positions 338 to 731 of the family's 1533-position model. The record is from RNAcentral.